CCUGGUAUAUCCCUACCAGUACCUUAGGAAGGCAUGCUACCGUUCGGCAGGUUCACAGCUUGCCGUUGAAAUGGCAACGGGGUGUGAAGCCCUUCUGGUAAUAUACCGAAUCGGGUUGAGUUCGCGAGAAUGAAACCCUUCUCCGAAUCCCACGGAGUCAAAGGG
This is a non-coding RNA of Caldithrix abyssi DSM 13497, 165 nucleotides long. The record is from Rfam. NCBI's taxonomy places the organism in Bacteria, Pseudomonadati, Calditrichota, Calditrichia, Calditrichales, Calditrichaceae.